Molecule: ribosomal RNA, 698 nt
Filed under: uncultured Bacilli bacterium
Lineage: Bacteria; Bacillati; Bacillota; Bacilli
Description: bacterial SSU rRNA
Rfam family: Bacterial small subunit ribosomal RNA
Source: RNAcentral
CAUGCAAGUCGAACGAGUUCUGAUUAUUGAAAGGUGUUUGCAUCUUGAUUUAAUUUUGAACGAGUGGCGGACGGGUGAGUAACACGUGGGUAACCUGCCCUUAAGUGGGGGAUAACAUUUGGAAACAGAUGCUAAUACCGCAUAAAUCCAAGAACCGCAUGGUUCUUGGCUGAAAGAUGGCGUAAGCUAUCGCUUUUGGAUGGACCCGCGGCGUAUUAGCUAGUUGGUGAGGUAACGGCUCACCAAGGCAAUGAUACGUAGCCGAACUGAGAGGGUGAUCGGUCACACUGGGACUGAGACACGGCCCAGACUCCUACGGGAGGCAGCAGUAGGGAAUCUUCGGCAAUGGACGAAAGUCUGACCGAGCAACGCCGCGUGAGUGAAGAAGGUUUUCGGAUCGUAAAACUCUGUUGUUAGAGAAGAACAAGGACGUUAGUAACUGAACGUCCCCUGACGGUAUCUAACCAGAAAGCCACGGCUAACUACGUGCCAGCAGCCGCGGUAAUACGUAGGUGGCAAGCGUUGUCCGGAUUUAUUGGGCGUAAAGCGAGCGCAGGCGGUUUCUUAAGUCUGAUGUGAAAGCCCCCGGCUCAACCGGGGAGGGUCAUUGGAAACUGGGAGACUUGAGUGCAGAAGAGGAGAGUGGAAUUCCAUGUGUAGCGGUGAAAUGCGUAGAUAUAUGGAGGAACACCAGUGGC